AAAAUGAAAAUGCACGUCUGAAUGACAUUAUCAUCAAUCGUAAGUAUUCCUAAUAUUUAUUAGCAGGGUUAUUUCUGGAGAUGGAUACAUGUGUUUGGCAAAAUAAAUGCUAUGUUGUUAGCUGGUGUGGUAGUGUGGGUGCACAUCUAGCCAUUGAUAAGAUUCAAAUUAGAAUUAUAUUUAUUUGUCUCUUUCUGGAGGAAUUCGUAGAGGGUUAACAAAUUCCUGGGGAAUUUGAAUUUGGGAGAAAUUGGAGAAAGAAAAUUGCGUUCACAACCAGGUUUCCUCUGCAGAGCCGUAUCAAUGGGCUUUGGAGGGUUGUAGCUUGCAUUCACAGCUGCAGGAAAUGUCUUUCGAAGAGUAAGGGCACGGAGUUGCUGGGUGCUGUUUUGAUCCUGUGAUUGUAAUUAUUGUUUUUCUUUAUAUAACCUCUUUCUAGAAAUCCCUCAAAUGAAAAGUGACCUCGCCAUUAUUGCUCAAAAGGUAAGUUCCUCUGAUUUUCAUUGCUUUUUAUAAAACUGUUUUUCAAGCAGAGCUGUAGAGACUUGUGAUGUUGGGCUGAUUGAUAGUGUUCAUUAUUUGAUGUAUUUGCACUUUAAUUUAUUGAAGAGAAUAACUAUUUGUCCUCUAUGAACAAGACUGGAAGGACUCCUGUGGAGGAUCUUGAUUCCUCCUCGACUUUUGGAGAAGUGCAACCGGCCCCGUCCACACGGAGACGGAGUUUACCCCAAUCCGAUCUUUUUUUUCGUUGUCUCAAGAAAUAUCUGCGUCCACACGAAACCGCAAAAUGAUGUAGUAUACAUGCCAGACCAGUAUGUGCCGCUGUAAUUCUGACACAGAGAUACACUAAAAACAGAGAAGAAGACUUGGACUAUGCUCAUAAACCUUGCGCGUGGUACACAAACGAACAUGGAACAAUACAUUUAUUAAUCUGUGUUAAUGUUAGUUAAUAAAAAGACAAUCGUUCAGUGUUUGUUCAUGUUUUUGUUGCUGUUACGUGACGUAGAGGUGUCUGACUAGGGGGGAGACGUGGGCUGAUGACGUCAUCGUUUCUGAAAAUAUACGGAUUAGCCGUCCAGACGAAAACGCAAAGACGGCGUUUUCAAAUUUAUCCACUCUGGGACCCGGUUUAAAAAAAUAGCGGUUUCACCUUACGAAAACGCCGGAUGCGUGUGGACGAAACGCCUAUCCGAUAAAAAAUUUGUGCGUAUUCACAGAAACGCGUCUCCGUGUGGACGGGGCCUAAGACUCCAGAGAGGAGACUGAGCCCUUUAAAGAGAGUCCCAUGGUGACACGGUGCUUUCGAGAGACACCACAGGUGUGUGUAACCCUUUUAUGAAUGGGUCAAUGGAAGGCCAUUGUAAAGUAUUUUAGGUACUGUUGGGUGCAGAAAAAUGCUAUGAAAGUGCAGCCCAUUGACAAGUAGAUCUGUUUACAUGUGCAAAGUUUCUUACAUCAGAUUAAAUAUCUGAGGGAUUAAUCUGAAUCAGUUUACAUGGAAACAAAUAGUCAAAUCAUGACGUGCAUAAACAUGCACCAAGCUUUAUUCAGAAUAAUAGCAUUUUGACAUCCGCAGAGCGUUAAUUUCCCUAAAACAACUGCAGAAGUUGUCCUUAACUUGUGUUUUAAGCAAACCAAAAAACGCAGGAGUGGCUAAAUUUUUCCUAUCCAUGAAUUUUCUCUGCUUUGGAUGUACAUGAUUGACCGUGUGACUGUUAACAAUGCAGUCCCCGUGACGGACAUGUGCAUAUGAAAGAACGAUGCCGCUAAAAAUAAAAAGGGGGGAGGGGGUGAUGUUUCCAAUCAGAAUCUUUCAGAUUUAACAGAAUACAAUCAGAAUCAUCCAACUGACGUGUUUACAUGACGCACUUUUUAUUAUGAUCAGCCCUUUAUCCAAAAUGUGUGUCCAAUCGCAGAUGUACUGUAAGCACUUUGGGUUCCUGAUGAAGCACUAUAGUAUAAUAAUAAUAAUGUCUUCUUAUUUUUGUCUUCUCUAGAUACUACAUUGAAGAAGUGGCCGGCAGCCAGCCGAAGGCAGACAGACACAUCUAUUCAUUCGAAGCUCACGGAGCUGAGUGCUACAUGCAUAUAUGUACCUAUAUAGCUACUGGCAAGAUUAUCUGCUCUACCUGGAAGCUGUUAUCUAUGGUUAAAAUUAGAAUAAAAGUGACAAAUUGACACUGCAACAAAUAAUGAGAUAUAAAGUAACAUAAAUGUUUGUCAGUUCAGGGAACCUUAAAUGAGUGUUAUACACAAAGAGUUAGAUCCACAUUUGCUUAAUGUGCGGUCCAUAAAAAUUUAAGCAGGGUUCAAUUAUGUUACAUGUGGUUUAGAAGAAAUGACAAACCACCUCCAUACAACAAAUCACCACUGCGCUCAAAGCCUUAUAGCUGCUAGGUGAUUACUACACUGAUUCGAAUGUAGCAACAAGAAAAAAAGCCACAAUUUAAUAAAUAAAUAAAAAAAACAAAGUGUCUAACAUUUCUCUUUUGCUCCCCUACAAAAAGAGGCAAGUC
Molecule: long non-coding RNA, 2516 nt
Filed under: Carassius auratus (goldfish)
Lineage: Eukaryota; Metazoa; Chordata; Actinopteri; Cypriniformes; Cyprinidae
Description: lncRNA (ENSCARG00000068113.1)
Source: RNAcentral